GUCUAUGGCCAUGCCGUCCUGAACAAGCCCGAUGUCUGAUCUCGGAAGCUAAGCAGGGUCAGGCUUGGUUAGUACUUGGAUGGGAUACCACCUGGGAAGACCAGAUGCUAUAAGCA
Molecule: ribosomal RNA, 116 nt
Filed under: Pteropus alecto (black flying fox)
Lineage: Eukaryota; Metazoa; Chordata; Mammalia; Chiroptera; Pteropodidae
Source: RNAcentral